AUUGAACGCUGGCGGCAGGCUUAACACAUGCAAGUCGAGCGGGGAAGGGUAGCUUGCUACCUAACCUAGCGGCGGACGGGUGAGUAAUGCUUAGGAAUCUGCCAUUUAGUGGGGGACAACAUUCCGAAAGGAAUGCUAAUACCGCAUACGUCCUACGGGAGAAAGCAGGGGAUCUUCGGACCUUGCGCUAAAUGAUGAGCCUAAGUCGGAUUAGCUAGUUGGUGGGGUAAAGGCCUACCAAGGCGACGAUCUGUAGCGGGUCUGAGAGGAUGACCCGGCACCCUGGGACGGAGCCACGGCCCAGAACCCUACGGGAGGCAGCAGUGGGGAAUAGUGGAGAAUGGGGGGAACCCUGGUCCGACCAGGCCGGUUGGAGGAAGGAGGCUUUAUGGUUGAAAAACAUUUUAAGCGAGGAGGAGGCAACUAUAGUUAUUACCGAGAGAUAGUGGACGUUACUCAAAGAAAAAGCCCCGGCUAACUCUGUGCCAGCCGCCGCCGUAA
This 501-nucleotide ribosomal RNA is filed under the name uncultured bacterium. RNAcentral describes it as "partial 16S ribosomal RNA". It matches the Rfam family "Bacterial small subunit ribosomal RNA", at positions 30 to 523 of the family's 1533-position model. The record is from RNAcentral.